GCCCCGGUAGCUCAGGGGAUAGAGCGUCCGCCUCCUAAGCGGAAGGUCUCAGGUUCGAAUCCUGAUCGGGGCACCA
Molecule: transfer RNA, 76 nt
Filed under: Gammaproteobacteria bacterium
Lineage: Bacteria; Pseudomonadati; Pseudomonadota; Gammaproteobacteria
Also listed under: 1 other name
Description: tRNA-Arg
Rfam family: tRNA
About the family: Transfer RNA (tRNA) molecules are approximately 80 nucleotides in length. Their secondary structure includes four short double-helical elements and three loops (D, anti-codon, and T loops).
Source: RNAcentral